RNAcentral lists this ribosomal RNA (247 nucleotides) under uncultured Actinomycetes bacterium. Its description in RNAcentral is "uncultured actinobacterium partial 16S ribosomal RNA". It matches the Rfam family "Bacterial small subunit ribosomal RNA", at positions 28 to 276 of the family's 1533-position model. Lineage: Bacteria; Bacillati; Actinomycetota; Actinomycetes. The record is from RNAcentral.
GACGAACGCUGGCGGCGUGCUUAACACAUGCAAGUCGAGCGGUAAGGCCCUUUCGGGGGUACACGAGCGGCGAACGGGUGAGUAACACGUGGGUGACCUGCCUUUAGCUCUGGGAUAAGCCUGGGAAACUGGGUCUAAUACCGGAUAUGACCUCAUGAUGCAUGUUGUGGGGUGGAAAGCCUUGUGCGGCUGGAGAUGGGCCCGCGGCCUAUCAGCUUGUUGGUGGGGUGAUGGCCUACCAAGGCGA